RNAcentral lists this ribosomal RNA (200 nucleotides) under uncultured bacterium. Its description in RNAcentral is "partial 16S ribosomal RNA". It matches the Rfam family "Bacterial small subunit ribosomal RNA", at positions 524 to 724 of the family's 1533-position model. The record is from RNAcentral.
UACAGAGGGGCAAGCGUUGUUCGGAAUUACUGGGCGUAAAGGGCGCGUAGGCGGCCUUCUAAGUCGAACGUGAAAUCCCCGGGCUCAACCCGGGAACUGCGUCCGAUACUGGAAGGCUUGAAUCCGGGAGAGGGAUGCGGAAUUCCAGGUGUAGCGGUGAAAUGCGUAGAUAUCUGGAGGAACACCGGUGGCGAAGGCGG